Molecule: ribosomal RNA, 1291 nt
Filed under: Triplax ainonia
Lineage: Eukaryota; Metazoa; Arthropoda; Insecta; Coleoptera; Erotylidae
Description: 16S ribosomal RNA
Rfam family: Archaeal large subunit ribosomal RNA (bases 598-1291)
Source: RNAcentral
GAGUUGAAGUAAUUAUUAAUUUUGUAUUUUAGGUUUUAUUUUAAAAUAAGUAAAUUUGUGUUUUAUUAUUUUUUGAGAAAAAAUAUUUUUUAUUAUAGUUGAUUAGUAAUGUGAAAGAAAUUAUUAAAAUAUUUAAAAGAAAAAAUAUAUUUUUGUACCUUGUGUAUCAGGGUUUAUUAAAAAUAUUUAAAUUUUUAAUUUUCUCGAAUUUAAAAGGGCUAAAAGAAAAUAGUUGAUAUUGUUGAAUAAAUAUAUAAAAUUUUUUUUUAGUAAUGAAACGUUAUUCGUUUUUAAAUAUAUCUAGUUUUUUAAGAAAAAAAUUUAAUUUUAUUAUAAUAAAUAAAUUUAAUUAAUUUUUAUUAGAUUUAUUGUUAUAUUAAAUAUUUUUAGGGAUUAGCUUAAAAAUAGAUUUUUAUAAAUUAAUUUAUUAUGGAAUAAUAUAUAGAAUUGGAAAUUUUCAUUAUUAAUAAUUUGUUAUAAUUACUUAUUUUAUAAAUAUGAUUUUUAUUAAUUUUAACUUUUUUAUUAAAAUUUAAAUUUAAAUAAAAAAAAUUUAGUAAUAAUGAUAAAAUUAGUAUAAUUUAAAUUAAAUUUAAAUAUUUUGAGGAAGGUAAAAAUAAGGAACUCGGCAAAUUUGUUUUUCACCUGUUUAAUAAAAACAUGUCUUUUAGAUAAUAAUUAAAAGUCUAGCCUGCCCACUGAGGAGUUAAAUGGCCGCGGUAUUCUGACCGUGCUAAGGUAGCAUAAUCAUUAGUUUUUUAAUUGAAAGCUGGAAUGAAAGGUUGCAUGAAAAAACUACUGUCUCAUUUUUAAUUUUAUAGAACUUUAUUUUUAAGUUAAAAAGCUUAAAUAUUAUUUAAAGACGAGAAGACCCUAUAGAGCUUUAUUUAAUUUAGAAUUGAUUUUUUUUAGUAUUGUAUAAUAUUUAUUUUAAAUUAUUUUUAGUUGGGGUGAUGGAAAAAUUUAAUAAACUUUUUUUAAUUUAUACCAUUAAUUUAUGAAUAAUUGAUCCAUAAAGUUGUGAUUAAAAGAUAAAGUUACCUUAGGGAUAACAGCGUUAUUUUUUUUGAGAGUUCAUAUCGAAAAAAAAGUUUGCGACCUCGAUGUUGGAUUAAAAUAAAUAUUUGGUGCAGGAGCUAAAUUAAUUAAGUCUGUUCGACUUUUAAAAUUUUACAUGAUCUGAGUUUAAACCGGCGUAAGCCAGGUUGGUUUCUAUCUUAAAUUAAUUAUAAUAUUUUAGUACGAAAGGAUUAAAUAUUGGGUAAUUUACUUUUUAAAUGAUUAAAAUUAA